CCUACGUGAGGCAGCAGUGGGGAAUAUUGGGCAAUGGGCGAAAGCCUGAACCAGCCAUGCCGCGUGCAGGAAGACGGCUCUAUGAGUUGUAAACUGCUUUUGUACAAGGGUAAACCUGAAUACGUGUAUUCAGCUGAAAGUACUGUACGAAUAAGGAUCGGCUAACUCCGUGCCAGCAGCCGCGGUAAUACGGAGGAUCCAAGCGUUAUCCGGAUUUAUUGGGUUUAAAGGGUGCGUAGGCGGAUUGAUAAGUUAGAGGUGAAAUGUCCGAGCUUAACUCGGGAACUGCCUCUAAUACUGUUGAUCUAGAGAGUAGAUGCGGUAGGCGGAAUGUAUGGUGUAGCGGUGAAAUGCUUAGAGAUCAUACAGAACACCGAUUGCGAAGGCAGCUUACCAAUCUAUAUCUGACGUUGAGGCACGAAAGCGUGGGGAGCAAACAGGAUUAGAUACCCGAGUAGUC
RNAcentral lists this ribosomal RNA (460 nucleotides) under uncultured bacterium. Its description in RNAcentral is "partial 16S ribosomal RNA". It matches the Rfam family "Bacterial small subunit ribosomal RNA", at positions 338 to 795 of the family's 1533-position model. The record is from RNAcentral.